AAUAAAUUCAUCAUAGAUUAUGGCACGCCGUUCUCGUCAAAACUAUGUUAAAACCAUUUUUCGAAAAAUUUACACACUGAGAAUUACAACAAAGCACACUGAGAUUUAAAAACUUCAAAACACACACUGAGAAUUAAAAAAUACACACUGAAAUUUCAUAAAGACGCACUGAGAUUACAAAAAAGAAAAACACACACUGAGAAUUGAAA
Molecule: long non-coding RNA, 209 nt
Filed under: Mytilus galloprovincialis (Mediterranean mussel)
Lineage: Eukaryota; Metazoa; Mollusca; Bivalvia; Mytilida; Mytilidae
Source: RNAcentral